UCCUGGUGGCUCAGAAGGUAAAGAAUCUGCCUGCAGUGCAGGAGACCCAGGUUCGAUCCCUGGAUUGGGAA
RNAcentral lists this transfer RNA (71 nucleotides) under Bos taurus (domestic cattle). It matches the Rfam family "tRNA". From Rfam's summary of the family: Transfer RNA (tRNA) molecules are approximately 80 nucleotides in length. Their secondary structure includes four short double-helical elements and three loops (D, anti-codon, and T loops). Further hydrogen bonds mediate the characteristic L-shaped molecular structure. tRNAs have two regions of fundamental functional importance: the anti-codon, which is responsible for specific mRNA codon recognition, and the 3' end, to which the tRNAs corresponding amino acid is attached (by aminoacyl-tRNA synthetases). tRNAs cope with the degeneracy of the genetic code in two manners: having more than one tRNA (with a specific anti-codon) for a particular amino acid; and 'wobble' base-pairing, i.e. permitting non-standard base-pairing at the 3rd anti-codon position. Lineage: Eukaryota; Metazoa; Chordata; Mammalia; Artiodactyla; Bovidae. The record is from Rfam by way of RNAcentral. RNAcentral also lists the same sequence under 5 other names.